AGAAUAAAUCUAAAUUAGAAGAGUAUUCUUUUCAUGUUUUUAGAGAGUUAGUGGUUGGUGCAAGCUAACAACAGAAAAGGUGAAAUGGACUAAUGAUUAUUUGAAAGGAAACCAUAACUUUCAGGUUGGCACCCCUUACCGUGCAGCUUCUUUCAUUGAGAAGAUUGAGAUAGUAUCUCGUUUUGAUAAAGCAGAUGCUAAUUGAGGUGGUACCGCGUAUUACUUGUAAUAACGCCCUCACG
Molecule: non-coding RNA, 242 nt
Filed under: Streptococcus pyogenes
Lineage: Bacteria; Bacillati; Bacillota; Bacilli; Lactobacillales; Streptococcaceae
Description: T-box sequence
Rfam family: T-box leader
About the family: Uncharged tRNA acts as the effector for transcription antitermination of genes in the T-box leader family.
Source: RNAcentral